GUGGGGAAUUUUGCGCAAUGGGCGAAAGCCUGACGCAGCAACGCCGCGUGAGUGAUGAAGGUCUUCGGAUCGUAAAGCUCUUUCGGCUGGGACGAAAACCGGUUGGUGAAUAGCCAACCGCUUGACGGUACCGGAAGAAGAAGCACCGGCUAACUCUGUGCCAGCAGCCGCGGUAAUACAGAGGGUGCAAGCGUUGUUCGGAAUUAUUGGGCGUAAAGCGCGUGUAGGCGGCGGAGCAUGUCGGGUGUGAAAGCCCUCGGCUUAACCGAGGAAGUGCGCCCGAAACUGCUUUGCUGGAGUGCUGGAGAGGGUAGCGGAAUUCCCGGUGUAGAGGUGAAAUUCGUAGAUAUCGGGAGGAACACCAGUGGCGAAGGCGGCUACCUGGACAGACACUGACGCUGAGACGCGAAAGCGUGGGGAGCAAACAGGAUUAGAUACCCGAGUAGUCC
RNAcentral lists this ribosomal RNA (449 nucleotides) under uncultured bacterium. RNAcentral describes it as "bacterial SSU rRNA". It matches the Rfam family "Bacterial small subunit ribosomal RNA", at positions 354 to 796 of the family's 1533-position model. The record is from RNAcentral.